RNAcentral lists this ribosomal RNA (447 nucleotides) under uncultured bacterium. RNAcentral's name for it is "bacterial SSU rRNA". It matches the Rfam family "Bacterial small subunit ribosomal RNA", at positions 355 to 825 of the family's 1533-position model. The record is from RNAcentral.
UCGGGAAUUUUGGGCAAUGGGGGAAACCCUGACCCAGCAACGCCGCGUGAAGGAUGAAGUAUUUCGGUAUGUAAACUUCGAAAGAAUAGGAAGAAUAAAUGACGGUACUAUUUAUAAGGUCCGGCUAACUACGUGCCAGCAGCCGCGGUAAUACGUAGGGACCAAGCGUUGUUCGGAUUUACUGGGCGUAAAGGGCGCGUAGGCGGCAUGACAAGUCACUUGUGAAAUCUCUGGGCUUAACCCAGAACGGCCAAGUGAUACUGUCGCGCUAGAGUGCAGAAGGGGCAAUCGGAAUUCUUGGUGUAGCGGUGAAAUGCGUAGAUAUCUGGAGGAACACCGGUGGCGAAGGCGACAUCCUGGACCAAUUCUGACGCUGAGGAGCGAAAGCCAGGGGAGCAAACGGGAUUAGAUACCCCAGUAGUCCCUGAGCGGGCUGGCAAGGCGCAU